GGGGCAUUAGCUCAGUUGGGAGAGUAUCUGCGUGGCACGCAGGAGGUCGUCGGUUCGAGCCCGACAUGCUCCA
Molecule: transfer RNA, 73 nt
Filed under: Candidatus Pseudogracilibacillus intestinigallinarum
Lineage: Bacteria; Bacillati; Bacillota; Bacilli; Caryophanales; Bacillaceae
Also listed under: 1 other name
Description: tRNA-Ala
Rfam family: tRNA
About the family: Transfer RNA (tRNA) molecules are approximately 80 nucleotides in length.
Source: RNAcentral